CAACUUUUAGCAACGGAUCUCUUGGCUCUCGCAUCGAUGAAGAACGCAGCGAAAUGCGAUAAGUAAAGUGAAUUGCAGAAUUCAGUGAAUCAUCGAAUCUUUGAACGCACCUUGCGCUCCUUGGUAUUCCGAGGAGCAUGCCUGUUUGAGUGUCAUG
Molecule: ribosomal RNA, 157 nt
Filed under: Trametes versicolor
Lineage: Eukaryota; Fungi; Basidiomycota; Agaricomycetes; Polyporales; Polyporaceae
Description: 5.8S ribosomal RNA
Rfam family: 5.8S ribosomal RNA
About the family: 5.8S ribosomal RNA (5.8S rRNA) is a component of the large subunit of the eukaryotic ribosome. It is transcribed by RNA polymerase I as part of the 45S precursor that also contains 18S and 28S rRNA. Functionally, it is thought that 5.8S rRNA may be involved in ribosome translocation.
Source: RNAcentral